CCCUUAGAUGUUCUGGGCAGCACGCGCGCUACAAUGGUCUUCGCAAACGGAUGCAUUCUCGAAGGAGAAUGCCAAUCUUGGAAUCUAUGCCUUGGUCGGGACAGUUGCUUGCAAUUUUUCGACUCGAACCAGGAAUUCCUUGUAAUCGUGAUUCAUCACAUCACGAUGAAUACGUCCCUGCCCUUUGUACACACCGCCCGUCGCUCCUACCGAUCGAAGAGUUAGGUGAAUUGUUUUGAUCGAUAAGGUUUGACUAUGGUCAACUCUCGUUGUGAAAUUCUGUGAAUCUGACUGUUUAGAGGAAGGAAAAGUCGUAACA
This 319-nucleotide ribosomal RNA is filed under the name uncultured eukaryote. RNAcentral's name for it is "partial 18S ribosomal RNA". It matches the Rfam family "Eukaryotic small subunit ribosomal RNA", at positions 1470 to 1796 of the family's 1831-position model. The record is from RNAcentral.